GGUUGAUCCUGCGGGAGGUCACUGCUAUGGGGAUUCGACUAAGCCAUGCGAGUCGGGAGGGUUCGGCCCUCGCCUGACGGCCCAGUAACACGUGGAUAAUCUGCCCUAAGGUGGAGGAUAAUCUCGGGAAACUGAGAAUAAUACUCCAUAAGUCUAGGAGGCUGGAAUGCACUUAGACUAAAAACUUCGGUGCCUUAGGAUGAGUCUCCGGACUAUCAGGUUGUAGUCAGGGUAAAGACCUGACUAGCCUACGACGGAUACGGGUUGUGAGAGCAAUAACNCCGGAGAUGAUAUCUGAGACACGAUAUCAGGCCCUACGGGGCGCAGCAGGCGCGAAAACUUCGCACUGCGCGAAAGCGCGACGAGGGAAUCCCACAGUGUAUGCACCCUAGUGUAUACU
This 400-nucleotide ribosomal RNA is filed under the name uncultured archaeon. RNAcentral's name for it is "bacterial SSU rRNA". It matches the Rfam family "Archaeal small subunit ribosomal RNA", at positions 6 to 408 of the family's 1478-position model. The record is from RNAcentral.